CAGCCGCCGCGGGAAAACGAAGGGUGCAAGCGUUACUCGGAAUUACUGGGCGUAAAGCGUGCGUAGGUGGUGGUUUAAGUCCGUUGUGAAAGCCCUGGGCUCAACCUGGGAAUUGCAGUGGAUACUGGGUCACUAGAGUGUGUCAGAGGAUGGUGGAAUUCCCGGUGUAGCGGUGAAAUGCGUAGAGAUCGGGAGGAACAUCAGUGGCGAAGGCGGCCAUCUGGGACAACACUGACGCUGAGGCACGAAAGCGUGGGGAGCAAACAGGAUUAGAUACCCGCGUAGUCCCUGUCUCUUAUAC
RNAcentral lists this ribosomal RNA (301 nucleotides) under uncultured bacterium. RNAcentral's name for it is "partial 16S ribosomal RNA". It matches the Rfam family "Bacterial small subunit ribosomal RNA", at positions 509 to 807 of the family's 1533-position model. The record is from RNAcentral.